Molecule: RNA transcript, 1552 nt
Organism: Panicum virgatum (switchgrass)
Lineage: Eukaryota; Viridiplantae; Streptophyta; Magnoliopsida; Poales; Poaceae
Gene name: MADS-box transcription factor 13-like
Exons: 4
Source: RefSeq, a predicted model, not a curated record
AAAACCCAACUCAAGUACUCCUGCUCUCCUCUCCACCCCUGCUCCGUCCGCUCACCACUGCCCCUAUUGCCCCGUUGUUCUGGCGACGGCCGGCGGCGGCGCCUACCUCGCGCCUUCCCUGCUGCUCCGUAGCCCCCACCCCACUCCGUCCGCGGAUCGGCUUGGACGAGGAUAUCCCAAACGAUUUGAUUCAUGCACUUUAUGGUGCUGGGAUUCGACCAGAGGAGGGCCAUGAACCUGCGCCGCACCCAUGAGGAGCCCAGAUUGGGAGAGGAUGGCCUCGAUUCGUGCGCUUUAGGUGCCAAGAUUCGAUCCGACGAGGGCCAGGAACCAGUGACGUCAAGGAGUCCGGUGGCGGAGGGUGCCCAUGUGGGUGGGACUCUAUGGCUCCAUAUUUGUAGAUAGAGUACUCUUGUAGAUAUUGUUCUUUCUUAUUCAGUUUUCGGAAUCUCCAAGUGUGACGGACGAUGGUCAGGGAAUGUUUCUUUGCGCAGUUCUUGGCUGAAUCAUUCACCCGUGCUUAACUGGGAGUACGUUUGGUGAGGCUGAGCCUGAGGAGUAAACUGGUCUAUUGCUUUUAGUAACAACUCUAGUUCAAAGCCCUUCAAAUUCUUUGGAAGGAAUGAUGUGAACAUGCAAGAAUCAUUUGACACUAGGUUUUCUAAUGGUACCUGAUACCUGUUCUGUUUGCUGUGUCUGAUAGUUUUCGGUUAAUAUGCAGACAAACCUUCAAAUAUUUAUCCCAACCUCUGUAAUCAAGUACAUUCAGCUGGCAUGAUUUCUAAUGCAGUACUCCACUACUGUUUGCUAGGAAAAUGGAGUCCGCUAGCAUGCUGUUAGUUUUCUGCACUUUUUUUAUUGAAGGGGAUGACAUAUUAGGCAGUGCAUUUAUAUCUGAUAUGUUUAAAAGGGAAACAGUCAUACACCUGAACAAAGUAGUUGUCAGACCCCUGUGGUCAUCUCUGGAACUAAAUAUUCCCUUUACUCGUUUGGCCUUUUAUAUGAGAUCCAUCUGAUCGUUUCCUCUGAUAGGUCCAGAUGUUGCAGAACACUAACAGGUAAGAGCAGCAGCAUCUUGUGCACUGCAUUCAUUUAAUUGCUUCCUUAGCUAUUGUAUUGGGAGAAAUGCAAUUGAGUGACUGAAAGAGACUGAGCUCCAGAAUGACCACAUGAACCUCAGAACUAAGAUUGAGGAGGGAGAGCAACAGCUGCAGCAGGUGACCGUGGCCCGGUCUGCCGCCACGCAAGUGCAGAGCUGAACCCAUUCUUGGAGCUGAACCUCAGCUACCAGCUGGCGCCACCGAGCGGCGACCACAUCAAUAAUCCUCAUCAGUUCUAAGCUGCACGAGGAGCUAUUGAGGCAAACUGUCGUCGAUAAUGGAAGCUGACAGUUCGUAUUGUAGUGUUAAACAAUUUAACCUGAUCAGUAUUGUAGAAUAUUUUGUAAAUAUCUCUGUACACGCCACAUGUUAGUCUUAUCAGACUGAAUAAGGCUAAUGACAAAAAUAAAAUGUGUUGAGCUCGCCACAGUCCAGGCUGGUACAUUCGUUCU